CUCGAUGUGUAUGAAGCAAGCUGCCUCUGCAUCAAGUGAGGGAAGAAGCCGCCACUGAAAAGCUUUUUGGACUGUCAUUUGAAGGACACAAAUGAAAGGACAGGAAUUCUGCUCUGCGGCGUUGGCCUCACUAUUUAUUCAAGAAGCCCUUGGACACCACCAGAAUGUAUGAAAAUUGUAAACAGUAGGCACAGUCAUUCCUUGAUCGACCUGGCAUCAACAUCGCUCGAUGUGUAUGAAGCUGCAAGUGAGAGAAGAAGCCGCCACUGAACACCUUUUUGGACUGUCAUGACUCAAAUGAAAGGACAGGACUUCUACUCUGCUGGGUCGGCCUCACUACAUAUUCAAGAAGCCCUCGGACGUCAUCAGAAUGUAUUAAUGUGAAGAGGCAACAAGGGAGAGAUGAACGCUAUCAAAAAUGUGGAGAUGGAUCUGGCAGCCGACUGCUUUGGCACACACCCAACAAGAAACAAAACAAUAAAGAAUACUAAAAUGCAUAA
Long non-coding RNA from Engraulis encrasicolus (European anchovy), 500 nucleotides. RefSeq lists it as uncharacterized. The record is from RefSeq and is a predicted model, not a curated record. NCBI's taxonomy places the organism in Eukaryota, Metazoa, Chordata, Actinopteri, Clupeiformes, Engraulidae. The transcript has 5 exons.